Passer domesticus (house sparrow) is the source of this 313-nucleotide long non-coding RNA. RefSeq lists it as uncharacterized. The record is from RefSeq and is a predicted model, not a curated record. The transcript has 3 exons. NCBI's taxonomy places the organism in Eukaryota, Metazoa, Chordata, Aves, Passeriformes, Passeridae.
CACAAGUGAAUGACUUGUGCUGAGUCUGAGUUAAAAAGUCCUAUAAAGCACAAACUGGACAUGCGAAGGAACCUCAGCUCUCCCAAAACAUAUUAAGGACAGUGCAGAAGCUUCUUGGCUCUGGAAGGAGUCACCCAAUGCUUCUCCUAUGAAAGAUCACCCACUUUGCACAGCCUAAUUUUGUAUGAAGGAGAAGAAAGAGAGAACAAUAGAGAAAGUCUGAGAAGAACAUGCCCAGGAUUCUGCAGCACACAGGCUGUGACAGUAACUACUUCAUCAUGUGCUGGUUGAUUUCCUAAGAGCAUUAAAGUAC